AAAAUAAAUUUUUUUUGAAUAGUCGUCCGAUUUGUUCGUGUCCGUACGAGGUAAGUUCAUAAGUGAAUAAUUGUUGUUAAAUUCAUAUGAAAAUGUAUUUAAUUGUGUCGAGUUGAAUUUUAGUAACUAUAUAUGUGUAUGUUGAAUUAAUAUAAGUAUAGGAGAAGUAACUACGAGCUUGAAACGAAUGAAUUAAGUUCGAAAG
This 205-nucleotide long non-coding RNA is filed under the name Gossypium barbadense (sea-island cotton). Its description in RNAcentral is "long non-coding RNA (GBAR_LNC014657)". Lineage: Eukaryota; Viridiplantae; Streptophyta; Magnoliopsida; Malvales; Malvaceae. The record is from RNAcentral.